GAUAUGAAAUUCAGUUUAUUUUGAAAUAAGAAAAUACAGAUUAGUGAACAAAUACAAACUAAAGAGAUAAUUACAGUAAAAGUACAAAGGUAAGAUAAUUAUAAACUAUUUUAUAUGCAAUUAAGGUUUAUAAAAUACUAAGUACUAUUUAUAAAUCUAAAUACUUCAUAGUGUGAAGUGUUUUGACUUUUGAGUUCAUAUUAAAUACUGGUAAACAAUGGCAGUAUUUUAGCAAAAGGUAGUGCAACACUGCAACCUCUAUAAUUAUUAUUUAGGUAUUGUCAGGAUGGAAUUUGAAUCUGUUGGAGCAAGUCUAUCACAGAGAUUUUAUGAACCAUGCAUGCAAUUUGUACAUAAUCAUAUAUUUGCCCAUUAUAUUUAUAAACUGACAGUUAAUACUAUUACUCUUUCACAUACUAAUAAAAUCAUCUGGGGCCGGUAGUUCAAAGGCUUACACGGGCUUCGAACAACCGGGCCCAGAUGAUUUUAUUAGUAUGUGAAAGAGUAAUAGUAUUAACUGUCAGUUUAUAAAUAUAAUGGGCAAAUUAGAGAUGGAGUAUAUAAAAUUAUUACUAAAGUAGGCUCAUUGCCAAUUGAUGGAUUAGGUUAACAUAAUUAAUAAACUAUAGAUGGUUUUGUUGCAUCUCACUCGAUGGAAAUUUUAAUGUUG
This is a non-coding RNA of Paramuricea clavata, 670 nucleotides long. Lineage: Eukaryota; Metazoa; Cnidaria; Anthozoa; Malacalcyonacea; Plexauridae. The record is from the annotation of a GenBank genome assembly.